RNAcentral lists this small nuclear RNA (146 nucleotides) under Microcebus murinus (gray mouse lemur). RNAcentral describes it as "U1 spliceosomal RNA (ENSMICG00000036829.2)". It matches the Rfam family "U1 spliceosomal RNA". Rfam says of the family: U1 is a small nuclear RNA (snRNA) component of the spliceosome (involved in pre-mRNA splicing). Its 5' end forms complementary base pairs with the 5' splice junction, thus defining the 5' donor site of an intron. Lineage: Eukaryota; Metazoa; Chordata; Mammalia; Primates; Cheirogaleidae. The record is from Rfam by way of RNAcentral.
AUACUUACCUGGCAGGGCAGCAGGUUUCCCAGGGUGAGGCUCAUCCAUUGCACUCUGGGUGUGCUGUCCCCUGUGAUUUCUCCAAGGACAGGAAACUCGGCUGCAUAAUUUGUGGUAGUGGGGGAUUCUGUUCGCACUAUACCCUG